Molecule: ribosomal RNA, 252 nt
Filed under: uncultured bacterium
Lineage: Bacteria
Description: partial 16S ribosomal RNA
Rfam family: Bacterial small subunit ribosomal RNA
Source: RNAcentral
UACGGAAGGGGCAAGCGUUGUUCGGAAUCAUUGGGCGUAAAGGGCGCGUAGGUGGUUCUGUAUGUCUACCGUGAAAGCGUACGGCUCAACCGUAUUUUGUCGGUGGAAACUGCAGGACUUGAGGCUGGGAGGGGCUGGUGGAAUUCCCUGUGUAGCGGUGAAAUGCGUAGAGAUGGGGGAGAACACUCGUGGGGAAGGGGGCCCCGGGGUUGGAUACUGACGCUGAUACGCGAAAGCGUGGGGGCAAACAGG